AUGAUAGGAUUGUCAUCGUUAACGUCAAUAACAUCACAUCACAUCACCAGUGAAUCCCAGGAUGCCUUGGAGUCAGAGAACCAGAGGCUGCACGAAUGCUGCCUGACCUUGGAGGCGGAGCUCCUGGAAAAGGAGGAGGGGCUGUGUCAGAAGGGGGAGGAGCUGCAGCGGUUGGAGGCUGAGUCGGCUCAGAACAUGGAGGAGCUGAGGGGUGUGGCCUCACACUGGAGCGAGAAGUGGCAGGAUGUGGCUAUGGCAUUACAAUCCACCCAGGCAGAACUAGAGGAACUCAGAGAGAAGAACCCUGGAGAUACACUUCAAGAGGAGGUGGUACGGCUGAAGGUGGAGGUUGAGAGACUUCAGACACAGGGACAGAGAGACAAGGAAGAGAUUCAGACUCUUCAUCAGCACUGGGCCAGUAAAGAGGCGGAGCUGAGCAGAGUCAUUAAAGAUGCCGGUUCUCUGCUGAAGGUAGAGCUGAACGCUUGUAAACAACAGUUGGAGCUGGAGAGGAGCCGGACUCGGGCUCUACACAACAGACUCAAAGUUAAAGACAACCCUCAUAUCUUGGGUAGGGGAAUGGUAGAAACGUUUGAUAAAGGGACAGAGACAGAUAUACUACCACAGACACGGGAUGAACAGGUCUCGCUGGAGGAGCUGGGCCAGGUGAGGGAAGAGCUACUGAUGGUCUCCCUGGAGGAGGUGGAUGGGGGCCAGGUGUCACAGCUAAAUAGUGAACUUCAGAGGCUGGAGCUGGAAGUGGCAGAGAGAGAAGAGCACCUGAGGGAGAAGGAACAUGCUCUGAGGAGUCUGGAGAGACUGAGAGAUGCCGAGAGGACAGAGACGCAAAUCAAGGUUUCUACACUGGAGUUGAAGUUGAUUAACCUAAAGGAGCAGGCCGGUGGAGAAGGCCUAUGUCAUGGAGGCCAAGAACAAGCUCAGCACACUGACUCACUGAGGUCUCAGCUAGAGGAGAGCAGGAGGAGAGCCAAUCAGCUGCAACAGGAGAGAGACCAGGCAGUUCAGAGGCUACAGACUCUCCGCCGGCUAUAUCAGGCUACGGAACAGAAAGCAGCUGCUGGCAGCAAGAAAGAGAAAACGGUUUGUGUGGAUAACAUAGUGAACCAGGAUAAACAGAGAAGACUGGUAACAGAACAGCUGAAGAGUCUAUUUAAGGAGCGUGAGCAGUUGGGUCAGGUCUAUGGAGGAGGAGGAGGAGGAGGAGUUCUGCAAGACUGGGCACCGAAGUCGAAGGUCAUCAAGAACUGCCUUGACACACUACACAGCCAGAGGAAGAGAGAGAAGGAGCUGAUGAGGGAGCAGCAGCAGUUUGCAGGACUGGGGCCUGUGUCUGAGGAGCAAGAAGAGGAGGACGACCCAGAGAGGGAGGUGGAGGAGGAGGUGACUCGCCUUAGGGAGGAACUCCACAGCAAGACCCACGCGCCAAGCUAAGGUUUCAGCCACAGAUCCAAGGGUUGGGCGCCACAGCGUCUAACUCUUCAGAGAAGACCACGUCAGAGAGCGAGGAGCCUCUUCUAUUGGAGAGAGACAUGCAGAGGGGAUCAUCAUCAUCAUCAUCACCACCACCCCGCUGGGAAGAUGGAGUGUUCCUGGCUAGGCAGGUGCAGAUCGGCAGCCCUGAAUUGGAGGGGGAGGAAGAGGAAGAUGGAGGCUGUGGCUGAUGCAUACCUGGUCCUAAUUUGCUCCCUACCCCUUCCCCUUGGCCCUUAACCACUUCAAGGUUGUCAGAUCUGAAGCAUCUAUAUACGUAGAAGCAGUAUUGUUGUAGAGCUUCCACCAUAUUGCUUCCACCAUAUUGCUUCCACUAUCCUACAGAUCUGCAAACAUUGAAGCUAAUGGAUCCAUCUUCGUGUGAAGUCUUACUAUAGUCAUGCAAUGAUACAAAUCCUAAAAAGGUUGUACAAACCAGUGUUAACGUCAAUCUACUGAUUAGUGGUUAUAAAUGUGGUGCUUUUGUUGAUGAUUUAACAAUGAAACAGGAAGUGAAAUGUGUUCCAUUGAUAAUAGUGAGAUGACGACAACAGAGGAUGAUUUUCUGUAAUACGCCUACGCUAUAUAAGCUAAUGAUCCACAUAUAGGGCUGUGUAAUAGUAGUAAGGUGGCUAAUACAUUAAAACUACAAUGUUACCACAUACAACACAAACAUUCUGGAGGUUUGUGAUUUGCCAAUUUUGUUGUAAUUAAAAAAAUGAUUGCGUUAACUCACAUGAUUGUUUGCAAUUGAUUUAGAAUGAGAACGAUCUGUCAUCCAACUCCCUGAAUAAGGACAAAUGUAAGAUCUCAUUAGUCUUGAGUUGAACAACACUUUUUAUUUCAGAUAAUGUACAACUCACAAAGCUACAAAAAUAAUUGUAUGCAAGUGUAAUCCACUCGUAUGAUAUGAGGCCUUAUUCAGUCGGGAGAACAAGUAUUUGAUAACCUGCAAAAUCGGUAGUGUUUCCUACUUACAAAGCACGUGUACCUAUGAUAAAAAUGACAGACCUCUACAUGCUUUGUAAGUAGGAAAACCUGCAAAAUCGGCAGUGUUGUCAAAUACUUGUUCUCCCCACUGUAUAUAUGGGGAUAUAUAUAUAUAUACACACACAGUGGGGCAAAAAAGUAUUUAGUCAGCCACCAAUUGUGCAAGUUCUUCCACUUAAAAAGAUGAGAGAGGCCUGUAAUUUUCAUCAUAGGUACACUUAGACUAUGACAGACAAAAUGAGAGAAAAAAAAUCCAGAAAAUCACAUUUGUAGGAUUUUCAAUUAAUUUAUUUGCAAAUUAUGGUGGAAAAUAAGUAUUUGGUCACCUACAAACAAGCAAGAUUUCUGGCUCUCACAGACCUAUAACUUCUUUAAGAGGCUCCUCUGUCCUCCACUCGUUACCUGUAUUAUUGGCACCUGUUUGAACUUGUUAUCAGUAUAAAAGACACCUGUCCACAACCUCAAACACUUGCACUCCAAACUCCACUAUGGCCAAGACCAAAGAGCUAUCAAAGGACACCAGAAACAAAAUUGUAGACCUGCACCAGGCUGGGAAGACUGAAUCUGCUAUAGGUAAGCAGCUUGGUUUGAAGAAAUCAACUGUGGGAGCAAUCAUUAGGAAAUGGAAGACAUACAAGACCACUGAUAAUCUCCCUCGAUCUGGGGCUCCACGCUAGAUCUCACCACGUGGACUCAAAAUGAUCACAAGAACGGUGAGCAAAAAUCACAGAACCACACGGGGGGACCUAGUGAAUGACCUGCAGAGAGCUGGGACCAAAGUAACAAAGCCUACCAUCAGCAAGGGCAUUGAAGAUGAAACGUGGCUGGGUCUUUCAGCAUGACAAUGAUCCCAAACACACCACAAGGGCAACGAAGGAGUGGCUUUGUAAGAAGCAUUUCAAGGUCCUGGAGUGGCCUAGCCAGUCUCCAGAUCUCAACCCCAUAGAAAAUCUUUGGAGGGAGUUGAAAGUCUGUGUUGCCCAGCAACAGCCCCAAAAUAUCACUGCUCUAGAGGAGAUCUGCAUGGAGGAAUGGGCCAAAAUACCAGCAACAGUGUGUGAAAACCUUGUGAAGACUUACAGAAAACAUUUGACCUCUGUCAUUGCCAACAAAGGGUAUAUAACAAAAUAUUGAGAUAAACUUUUGUUAUUGACCAAAUACUUAUUUUCCACCAUAAUUUGCAAAUAAAUUCAUAAAACAUCCUACAAUGUGAUUUUCUGGAUUUUUUUUCUCAUUUUGUCUGUCAUAGUUGAAGUGUACCUAUGAUGAAAAUUACAGGCCUCUCUCAUCUUUUUAAGUGGGAGAACUUGCACAAUUGGUGGCUGCCUAAAUACUUUUUUGCCCCACUGUGUAUAUAGAUAUUACACACAAACAUCAUUACAUACAGUGCAUACAUCUCCAGUACAUAGCUACAGUUGAAGUCGGAAGUUUAGAUACACCUUAGUCAAAUACAUUUAAACUCUGUUUUUCACAAUUCCUGACAUUUAAUCAGAGUAAAAAUUCUCUGUUUUAGGUCAGUUAGGAUCACCACUUUAUUUUAAGAAUGUGAAAUGUCAAUAAUAGUAGAGAGAAUUAUUUAUUUCAGCUUUUAAUUCUUUUAUCACAUUCCCAGUGGGUCAGAAGUUUACAUGCACUCAAUUAUUAUUUGGUAGCAUUGCCUUUAAAUUGUUUAACUUGGGUCAAACGUUUCAGGUAUCCUUCCACAAGCUUCCCACAAUAGGUUGGGAGAAUCUUGGCCCAUUCCUCCUGACAGAGCUGGUGUAACUGAGUCAGGUUUGUAGGCCUACUUGCUCGCACACGGUUUUUCAGUUCUGCCAACACAUUUUCUAUAGGAUUGAGGCCAGGGCUUUGUGAUGGCCACUCCAAUACCUUGACUUUGUUGUCCUUAGCCAUUUUUUCCACAACUUUGGAAGUAUGCUUGGGGUCAUUGUCCAUUUGGAAGACCCAUUUGCGAUCAAGCUUUAACUUCCUGACUGAUGUCUUGAGAUGUUGCUUCAAUAUAUCCACAUAAUUUUCCUCCCUCAUGAUGCAAUCUAUUUUGUGAAGUGCACCAGUCCCUCCUGCAGCAAAGCACCCCCACAACAUGAUGCUGCCACCCCUGUGCUUCACGGUUGCGAUGGUGUUCUUCGGCUUGCAAGCCUCCCCUUUCCCUCCAAACAUGACAGUGGUCAUUAUGGCCAAACAGUUCUAUUUUUGUUUCAUCAGACCAGAGGACAUUUCUCCAAAAAGUACAAUCUUUGUCCCCAUGUGCAGUUGCAUAGCGUAGUCUGACUUUUUUAAUGGCGGUUUUGGAGCAGUGGCUUCUUCCUUGCUCAGCUGCCUUUCAGGUUAUGUCGAUAUAGGACUUGUUUUACUGUGGAUAUAGAUACUUUUGUACCUGUUCCCUCCAGCAUCUUCACAAGGUCCUUUGCGGUUGUUCUGGGAUUGAUCUUCACUUUUCGCACCAAAGUACGUUCAUCUCUAGGAGACAGAACGCGUCUCCUUCCUGAGCAAUAUGAUGGCUGUGUGGUCCCAUGGUGUUUAUUCUUGCGUACUAUUGUUUGUACAGAUGAACGUGGUACCUUCAGGUGUUGGGAAAUUGCUUCUGAGGAUGAACCAGACUUGUGGAGGUCUACCAUUUUUUCUGAGGUCUUGGCUGAUUUCUUUUUAUUUUCCCAUGAUGUCAAGCAAAGAGGCACUGAGCUUGAAAGUAGGCCUUGAAAUACAUCCACAGGUACACCUCCAAUUGUCUCAAAUGAUGUCAAUUAGCCUAUCAGAAGCUGUAACGACUGUUUGAAGAAGUGGACCGGAGGGAGACACCGGACAGGAUAGAAACUCCGGCAGUUCCGGACAGGAGGGAGAC
Molecule: long non-coding RNA, 5323 nt
Organism: Oncorhynchus mykiss (rainbow trout)
Lineage: Eukaryota; Metazoa; Chordata; Actinopteri; Salmoniformes; Salmonidae
Source: Ensembl